This 246-nucleotide ribosomal RNA is filed under the name uncultured bacterium. RNAcentral's name for it is "partial 16S ribosomal RNA". It matches the Rfam family "Bacterial small subunit ribosomal RNA", at positions 109 to 353 of the family's 1533-position model. The record is from RNAcentral.
AGUAACGCGUGGGUAACCUGCCUCAUACAGGGGGAUAACAGUUAGAAAUGACUGCUAAUACCGCAUAAGCGCACAGUGCUGCAUGGCACAGUGUGAAAAACUCCGGUGGUAUGAGAUGGACCCGCGUCUGAUUAGCUAGUUGGUGGGGUAACGGCCUACCAAGGCGACGAUCAGUAGCCGGCCUGAGAGGUUGAACGGCCACAUUGGGACUGAGAUACGGCCCAGACUCCUACGGGAGGCAGCAUG